CCUACGGGUGGCAGCAGUGAGGAAUAUUGGUCAAUGGGCGCGCGCCUGAACCAGCCAAGUAGCGUGAAGGAUGACUGCCCUACGGGUUGUAAACUUCUUUUAUUAAGGAAUAAAGUUAGGCACGUUUGCCUUUUUGUAUGUACUUUAUGAAUAAUGAUCGGCUAACUCCGUGCCAGCAGCCGCGGUCAUACGGAGGAUCCGAGCGUUAUCCGGAUUUAUUGGGUUUAAAGGGAGCGUAGAUGGUUUGUUAAGUCAGUUGUGAAAGUUUGCGGCUCAACCGUAAAAUUGCAAUUGAUACUGGCAGCCUUGAGUACAGUUGAGGUAGGCGGAAUUCGUGGUGUAGCGGUGAAAUGCUUAGAUAUCACGAAGAACUCCGAUUGCGAAGGCAGCUUACUAAACUGCCACUGACAUUGAUGCUCGAAAGUGUGGGUAUCAAACAGGAUUAGAUACCCUGGUAGUC
This 460-nucleotide ribosomal RNA is filed under the name uncultured bacterium. RNAcentral describes it as "partial 16S ribosomal RNA". It matches the Rfam family "Bacterial small subunit ribosomal RNA", at positions 338 to 795 of the family's 1533-position model. The record is from RNAcentral.